RNAcentral lists this transfer RNA (68 nucleotides) under Marmota monax (woodchuck). Its description in RNAcentral is "tRNA.Undet". The record is from RNAcentral. Lineage: Eukaryota; Metazoa; Chordata; Mammalia; Rodentia; Sciuridae.
GGCGAUGUAGCUCAAUGGUAGAGCACUACUUAACAUACCUAGAGCCCUGGAUUCAAUCCCCAGCACCA